CAGCAGCCACGGUAAUACGUAGGGUCCGAGCGUUGUCCGGAAUUAUUGGGCGUAAAGGGCUCGUAGGCGGUUUGUUGCGUCGGGAGUGAAAACCAGGUGCUUAACACCUGGCCUGCUUUCGAUACGGGCAGACUAGAGGCAUUCAGGGGAGAACGGAAUUCCUGGUGUAGCGGUGAAAUACGCAGAUAUCAGGAGGAACACCGGUGGCGAAGGCGGUUCUCUGGGAAUGUUCUGACGCUGAGGAGCGAAAGUGUGGGGAGCGAACAGGAUUAGAUACCCCAGUAGUCCCUGUCUCUUAUAC
RNAcentral lists this ribosomal RNA (301 nucleotides) under uncultured bacterium. Its description in RNAcentral is "partial 16S ribosomal RNA". It matches the Rfam family "Bacterial small subunit ribosomal RNA", at positions 509 to 807 of the family's 1533-position model. The record is from RNAcentral.